This 419-nucleotide ribosomal RNA is filed under the name uncultured bacterium. Its description in RNAcentral is "bacterial SSU rRNA". It matches the Rfam family "Bacterial small subunit ribosomal RNA", at positions 355 to 774 of the family's 1533-position model. The record is from RNAcentral.
UAAGGAAUAUUGGUCAAUGGACGCAAGUCUGAACCAGCCAUGCCGCGUGAAGGAUGAAGGUCCUCUGGAUUGUAAACUUCUUUUAUCUGGGACGAAAACGGGAUUUUUAUCUCAAUUGACGGUACCAGAGGAAUAAGCACCGGCUAACUCCGUGCCAGCAGCCGCGGUAAUACGGAGGGUGCGAGCGUUAUCCGGAUUUACUGGGUUUAAAGGGUGCGUAGGUGGGCUUAUAAGUCAGUGGUGAAAUCCUACAGCUUAACUGUAGAACUGCCUUUGAUACUUUUAUUCUUGAGUUCGGGAGAGAGACGGAAUUCCAGGUGUAGUGGUGAAAUACGUAGAUAUCUGGAAGAACACCAGUUGCGAAGGCGGUCUCUUGGUCCGACACUGACGCUGAGGCGCGAAAGCGUGGGGAGCAAACA